This is a long non-coding RNA of Calidris pugnax (ruff), 2509 nucleotides long. RefSeq lists it as uncharacterized. The record is from RefSeq and is a predicted model, not a curated record. The transcript is spliced from 4 exons. Lineage: Eukaryota; Metazoa; Chordata; Aves; Charadriiformes; Scolopacidae.
GAUUCUUGGCACUCUGAUCACUAGAAGGGUUACUUUCUUUAACUAUAUUGCUGUAGGAAUGCAUCUUUUAAGUAUCCUGCUGCAUUAUUUUGACGUGACCUUCAUAUAUUUUCAGCUUAUAGUUUCUGGAAUUCUUUUUCUCCCGAUAAGAAGCAAUGUUGCUGGGUGUGCUUUUUCUAACAAACCUUGAUGGAAGAUCAGGGAAAAAAAAGCUAAUAUAUCUGAUGGCUUGAUAAUUUCAGGAUCAAAACAGAUUUUAAGCGUUUAUCUUCUUGCACUUCUUGAUGAAUCUGUUUGACCAGGCAGCUGGUGUAUGAGAUCUAGCCGGCAGCACACAGAACACAUUAGGAAAACAAAGAGAAUGUGAGAUUAAACUGAAAAGAGGCAAGAGCAGCAUUUCCUCACCGUUCUGCAUGAAGGCAGAAGAUGCUCUGAAAGGAUACAAACUCAGUUUUCUUACUGGACCUAUGGCCUCUCUCCCCCAUCAGAUUAUUCAAAGAUGAUUGGUGCUGAGAAGGCUGGACGUUGGCAGCAGAAGUACAGUGCUAGUCCCUGGACUCCCUGCUUAACCCCACUGGAGCUCCCCGCUGUUGCGGCUUCCUCUCUGAAGAGCCUUCCAGCAACUGCUCAUUUUGGCAGGAUCUCCUUCCAUCUGCUCCCUUGCCUUGCCUAGGCUCGACCCAGAAAUCCUCUGUGUGUGUGAGCAACCUCUACCAGUUCUCCAGCCCAGGCUCCCUGCCUGGCUGACAUCUCAGAAGCCCUACAUCAGCAGGCAGGAAAGAGUAGAAGGGUAUUAUUUCUCAUACUCAGCUUUUCUUCUCUUUGGCCGGAGUCAUCCAUAAGCCCAAACAGUUGUACAGUUUUCCUCUCUCAGUUUUCCAUCUUUUCUACUCUGAGUAGUCCUCCUGCAGCCUGGUGUGUACAUCCUCUCUCUGCCUGCUCUAACUCCAAGUCUGCCAUAAUCAAACCACUUCUGUCUCGUCUUCCCCUGUGUCAGUGACCCUCUCCUUCAGCUUUGAAUGCAGGAAUGAGAAGCUGCCUGCUAUGUGAACAAAGGCAGUAGGGUAUAGGACCCACAGAGCAAAAACAUGAAGCUCUAACUUCCAUGUGUUCAACUUGGGCUUUAUGGCUACUUAGGGCUCUGACUUGCAUGAGAUUCAGGCACUCAUAGAAAGCCCUGGAAAUCCCGCAGGCCUUAGAAAUUGCCCUUUGCAUGUUUAGCUUGAAAACCAACUCAUGUUCCACUUAUCCAGCCACAAGAGACUUGGGUUGCACGUGAGACAUGCUUAACAGUCUGUACCAGCCCCCAUGUCUUGGCUGUAGUCUGAAAAAACAUGUGGCUGUGGUUUUGGUUGCUUCCAUCUGCUUUAACAAGGGCUGGUAUAAAUAGCUGUCUGGGUCUCUACCUCUUACCUCGCUUUGGUUCAUGCUACUAGACCCAUCUCAUAGUAGACCUCUCUCCAUUGUGUCUCUUUUGGUUAGCUACUAAUGCCUUUCCUACAUUGUAGCUUCUUGGUUUCCCACCACAGUACUGCUGCAUUUUCUUACCAUUUGGCCUGGAAGAUGCAGUAUUGACUCAGAAACUGAAGAGCUUUUAACCUUAUUACCUUGAGUAGUGGCCCACACCAGCAAUAAAAAGGAGAGGGCUGAAGAAAACCUCAGUGAUGGUACUGUUGCAGCAGAUGAUUUAUGCGUUGUUUUUUUUUGAAAGAAAGAUUAAUGAUGAAACAUCUUCCUGAAGGACACACUGAAAAACUUUAUGCAGAGUGUGUUACCAGCAUGCAGAAUAGGAUGUGUGCACCAGCAUGAACCAGUCUGCUCUUGGGACUUGAUGCCAUCUUGCUUGCAGAUUUUUGUAUUGUCUGGAAGAGAAAUGGAAGAAGGUGGGAGGACAUGUUAGACAGAAGCUGAUGCACCAGAGAGGGCAGGCUCAGAUAGAGUGCUGGAGUGAGAUAGGAGUGCAAUGUUUCUUCUGUGAUGGUCACGGAGAGCUUCAAACCCAAAACUGUGGAAUGGAGUUGUGAGUUGGCCAGAUGGAAGCAUGUCUUCACUCCAUGGUACAUGACAAAGCGACUUCGUCGUGUUCUGUCUUUACUCUCAGCUGUGCUUGGCAACUUCAUCCACAUCCUGGGAAGAAUGGACAGGAGGAAGUGCAGAGGGGAGCCGGUGGGCAGAGUCCUAUGACAGUAACCCUUCCCAGAUGAUGGCAUAAUGGCUGCAGCUUGCUCUGUCACCUAUUUAUGUGGCAGGUGGGGCUAACUAAGCAGUUAGGAAAUAGAACCACUUUCCUGAUUGGGGUCAGAAGGUAAAACACAAUAAACUCUGUUUUCAAUAUGACAAGUCUUUGUUUUUAUUGUUGUUUAUACAUACAGUUGCCACCAGAAAUAACUUUGGUUCAUUUGUAGUUUCCUUUUCUGGUUGGCACACAGAAUUUAGCUAUUCAGUUCUUUGAUGUUCCAGCAAAUAGCCAGACAAUUUUUAAAAUAAAUGUUCUCUUAGAGUUUGUGUA